AUUGAACGCUGGCGGCAGGCCUAACACAUGCAAGUCGAGCGGCAGCGGGAAAGUAGCUUGCUACUUUUGCCGGCGAGCGGCGGACGGGUGAGUAAUGCCUGGGAAAUUGCCCAGUCGAGGGGGAUAACAGUUGGAAACGACUGCUAAUACCGCAUACGCCCUACGGGGGAAAGCAGGGGACCUUCGGGCCUUGCGCGCUUGGAUAUGCCCAGGUGGGAUUAGCUAGUUGGUGAGGUAAUGGCUCACCAAGGCGACGAUCCCUAGCUGGGCUGGGAGGAUGAUCAGCCACACUGGAACUGAGACACGGUCCAGACUCCUACGGGAGGCAGCAGUGGGGAAUAUUGCACAAUGGGGGAAACCCUGAUGCAGCCAUGCCGCGUGUGUGAAGAAGGCCUUCGGGUUGUAAAGCACUUUCAGCGAGGAGGAAAGGUUGAUGCCUAAUACGUAUCAACUGUGACGUUACUCGCAGAAGAAGCACCGGCUAACUCCGUGCCAGCCGCCGCCGUAA
This 508-nucleotide ribosomal RNA is filed under the name uncultured bacterium. RNAcentral describes it as "partial 16S ribosomal RNA". It matches the Rfam family "Bacterial small subunit ribosomal RNA", at positions 30 to 523 of the family's 1533-position model. The record is from RNAcentral.